RNAcentral lists this unclassified non-coding RNA (172 nucleotides) under Tropicibacter naphthalenivorans. Its description in RNAcentral is "caulobacter sRNA CC2171". The record is from RNAcentral. Lineage: Bacteria; Pseudomonadati; Pseudomonadota; Alphaproteobacteria; Rhodobacterales; Roseobacteraceae.
CAACAGCUGAAAGGAGGUGAUCCAGUGUCUAUAGAGGUAUUGGAGAAAGUGGUCGGAACAGUUCGAGGGGCGAAAACCUAGGGCAAUCCUUGGGUGCACAUCACUCGAAUUGGCAUGCCUAACCGGCCCCUGCCUCCUACUCUUUAAAGGGUCGCUCACAUCGGGCGGCCCU